UUAAAUUGAAGAGUUUGAUCAUGGCUCAGAUUGAACGCUGGCGGCAGGCCUAACACAUGCAAGUCGAACGGUAACAGGAAGCAGCUUGCUGCUUUGCUGACGAGUGGCGGACGGGUGAGUAAUGUCUGGGAAA
This 133-nucleotide ribosomal RNA is filed under the name Escherichia coli. RNAcentral describes it as "partial 16S ribosomal RNA". It matches the Rfam family "Bacterial small subunit ribosomal RNA", at positions 1 to 124 of the family's 1533-position model. Lineage: Bacteria; Pseudomonadati; Pseudomonadota; Gammaproteobacteria; Enterobacterales; Enterobacteriaceae. RNAcentral also lists the same sequence under 15 other names. The record is from RNAcentral.